This 73-nucleotide transfer RNA is filed under the name Bos taurus (domestic cattle). It matches the Rfam family "tRNA". Rfam says of the family: Transfer RNA (tRNA) molecules are approximately 80 nucleotides in length. Their secondary structure includes four short double-helical elements and three loops (D, anti-codon, and T loops). RNAcentral also lists the same sequence under 6 other names. The record is from Rfam by way of RNAcentral. Lineage: Eukaryota; Metazoa; Chordata; Mammalia; Artiodactyla; Bovidae.
UCCCUGGUGGUCCAGUGGUUAGGACUUGGUGAUUUCACUGCCAAGGGCCUGGGUUCAAUCCCUAGUUGGGUGA